RNAcentral lists this ribosomal RNA (465 nucleotides) under uncultured bacterium. Its description in RNAcentral is "partial 16S ribosomal RNA". It matches the Rfam family "Bacterial small subunit ribosomal RNA", at positions 338 to 795 of the family's 1533-position model. The record is from RNAcentral.
CCUACGGGUGACAGCAGUGGGGAAUAUUGCGCAAUGGGCGAAAGCCUGAUGCAGCGACGCCGCGUGAGGGAUGAAGGUCUUCGGAUCGUAAACCUCUGUCAGCAGGGAAGAACGGUCACUGUGCUAAUCAGCAGUGAAUUGACGGUACCUGCAAAGGAAGCACCGGCUAACUCCGUGCCAGCAGCCGCGGUAAUACGGAGGGUGCAAGCGUUAAUCGGAAUUACUGGGCGUAAAGCGCUCGUAGGCGGUAUGUCAAGUCAAGGGUGAAAUCCCCGUGCUCAACGUGGGAACUGCAUUUGAAACUGGCAGACUUGAGUGUGUUAGAGGAGAGUGGAAUUCCAGGUGUAGGGGUGAAAUGCGUAGAUAUCUGGAGGAACAUCAGUGGCGAAGGCGACUAUCUGGCACAUAACUGACGCUGAGGAGCGAAAGCGUGGGUAGCAAACAGGAUUAGAUACCCUUGUAGUC